This 17-nucleotide transfer RNA is filed under the name Delphinus delphis (saddleback dolphin). RNAcentral's name for it is "partial tRNA-Pro". Lineage: Eukaryota; Metazoa; Chordata; Mammalia; Artiodactyla; Delphinidae. The record is from RNAcentral.
CAAGGAAUAGUUUAUGU